ACACACACACGCACACACUUGGAAACUCUUCAGGAACUGAAAACCAGGUAUCUAUGUACUAGGUGGGCUAUAAUGUUGAUGUCCAGCUGGGACUCUCAGGCCCACUUCAGAGCGGAAUCACAGCCAAGGACCAGCCUCCUUUGAUGUUGCCGUGCCACCCCGUCUUCCCUAAGUUCCUGUUGAGAGGAUGAGGGCGGCAGCAGCAUCUUGCAGCCUUGGUUCUGGUUAGGGCUACACUGGCAGGCAUCAGUGCCCUCUCCCUGUCAAAGAUAUUAUUGAUUGUUCCCCAACCAGGGAUCCAACCUGGGCCCUGGCAGUGAAAGCACCGAGUCCUAACCACUAGACUGCCAGGAAAUUCCCAUCCCUGUCAAAGAUCUUUAACUGGGGCAGGGGCAGGGCCACAGGAGGCAGCUGGGGUUAGUAAUCUAGAAAGGCUCCUUGAAACAGCCUUGAGUCUUCAAUAUUGACAUCUUCAAGCCAAGAGAGGCAGAGUUGAACCUUCCUAACCAGAAAAGUCCCUUGUUGGCCCACUGAGUCCUGCCCGCCUCCCCUCAGCUGCUCUUCCCAGGGGCAGUUCUUGAAGGCAAUAAGGAAAUGACAAUGCCAAAGACGGGCCCAGUUUAUCCUGAGAUUUUUGGUCUCUCUCAUCUCUCCAUACCUGCACCUGGCUCUCCUUGAGAAUAACCCCCAGGCCUAGGGCAAAAAACACCUCUUGAGCGAUUCACGUGCAGCCCAGGAAGCAAGUGGGAAGGAAUGACUUCUGUCGUGACCUUCUGAGACGCCGUGUGGAGUCCUUUGAGAGAACUAGAAUGGUGCUGGCGUGGGGACCCAAGCUCAUGGCCAAUGAGGCAGGAAACUUGUGAUCCAUGGAGGAUGGCAACACAGGCUGAAGAUUUUCAGUGUCCUUGCUGCUGUACACAUCUGCAGUCCUUGAAUGCACAGUCAUGGUGGAAAGUGGUUGACAUGUGGAAGGCCUAGCACUACUAUCCCAGGUGCCUGUAUUUGGCCUCCAGGCUUCUGUUCUCCUUGUGCUGGAGCAUCAAGGCCUUGUUGAGGUUCUCGACCACAGCAGACAUGUACCUGAUGGCCCGAACCUCCCCCUGGUUGAACAUCGUGGAGUCCAGGAGUUCCUGCAGCAUGGACUUCACCUCAGAGACCCUUAUGCAGCCUUGUUCCCCAGAACCUGCACGAGGCCACAGCUCCAGGGACCACCAACGAGGACCUGUCUCCACAUCACACCUUCCUUCAGCCCUGAGGGACAGCCCAGAACUGCUCACUUCUCAGCUUGGGUCCACCACCCCAACCUCUUACCACUGACCAUCCAUCUCAGCUAAAGCUUUUGUUAUGGAGGAGAAUCAGAAAGACUCCCACAGACCCUGGUGUGUGACUUCUUUCCUUGAGAUGGCAUCUGCCCCACCCAGCUCCCCUGCCAGGUGCUCCUGGAACCUACUUU
Orcinus orca (killer whale) is the source of this 1453-nucleotide long non-coding RNA. RefSeq lists it as uncharacterized. The record is from RefSeq and is a predicted model, not a curated record. The transcript is spliced from 4 exons. Lineage: Eukaryota; Metazoa; Chordata; Mammalia; Artiodactyla; Delphinidae.